AAGUCGUAACAAGGUUUCCGUAGGUGAACCUGCGGAAGGAUCAUUAACACGUAUCCACGUAUCAACCCUUCGUGCUCGGUGCUAUUUGUGGGCUAGUUUAUUCAUUCAAGCUUUUGCUUGCCCUUUUAUGUUGUUGGUAUUUUAGGUUUGGGAAAGACUUUCGGGUCUUCUUGAGCAUAAGAGAAAACAGCAAACAAAGGGUUUGUGAAAGACUUGGACUGUUUUACCUUUUAACCCCGUCGUACUUUAAUGUAACUGAACUAUGAUUGUUCUUUUGAUUAAUUUCAAAGACAAUUAUUAUACGAAACGCUUGACAACUCUUAACAACGGAUAUCUUGGUUCUC
RNAcentral lists this unclassified non-coding RNA (344 nucleotides) under fungal sp. RNAcentral's name for it is "partial internal transcribed spacer region". The stretch from base 1 to 46 matches the Rfam family "Eukaryotic small subunit ribosomal RNA", at positions 1786 to 1831 of the family's 1831-position model. The record is from RNAcentral. Lineage: Eukaryota; Fungi.